RNAcentral lists this ribosomal RNA (1400 nucleotides) under Triticum aestivum (bread wheat). RNAcentral describes it as "partial small subunit ribosomal RNA". Lineage: Eukaryota; Viridiplantae; Streptophyta; Magnoliopsida; Poales; Poaceae. The record is from RNAcentral.
GGCAACCGCGGCUCUCAGGGGGUAGCUUAGAAUCGAAGCGGACGACGCCACAUAUAUACCGCGGCCGCGGCGGCCCCUCUCCCUCGUCCGUCAGAUACGCGCCCUCGCAUCGCCGCCGAAGCCCAUCGCUCUCACUCUCCGAACCCCGCCGACGCCAGCGCGGGCUCCUGCUCCGGAGGCUUCGGCCGCAAUGGCUCUCCCCAACACCCCGCCCGUGGACUACCCCAGCUUCAAGCUCGUCCUCGUCGGCGACGGCGGCACCGGCAAGACGACGUUCGUGAAGAGGCACGUCACCGGGGAGUUCGAGAAGAAGUACGAACCGACGAUCGGCGUGGAGGUGCGGCCGCUGGACUUCCAGACGAGCCACGGCAAGAUCAGGUUCUACUGCUGGGACACGGCCGGACAGGAGAAGUUCGGUGGCCUCCGUGACGGAUACUACAUCCAUGGCCAGUGUGCAAUCAUCAUGUUCGAUGUCACCUCCCGACUCACCUACAAGAACGUCCCCACCUGGCACAGAGACAUCUGCAGGGUGUGCGAGAACAUCCCGAUCGUCCUGUGCGGCAACAAGGUGGACGUGAAGAACCGGCAGGUGAAAGCCAAGAUGGUGACCUUCCACAGGAAGAAGAACCUCCAGUACUACGAGAUCUCUGCCAAGAGCAACUACAACUUCGAGAAGCCUUUCCUCUACCUUGCAAGGAAGCUCUCAGGGGACAUGACCCUCCGGUUCGUCGAGGAGACGGCCCUCCUCCCCGCCGACGUGACCGUCGACCUCGCCGCGCAGCAACAGAUUGAGGCAGAGAUAGCAGCUGCGGCGGCAAUGCCCCUCCCGGAUGACGAUGAUGACAACAUCAUGGACUGAGCUGAUCAAUUGGAGGCUGUGCCUAGUUUAGUAGCAGCAUAUAUAGUUUCAAUCAAACUCUUAUAAGAAGUGAGACUUCUGUAUCCGUAUCAGACAUUCAGUAGGCAUCUGAUGACGAUGGUUUGUGCGAUAGUUCCAUGUUUUUCUCAGUGGUAGUUGAUCUGAGAUUUCUUUGUCGAGUGCUUGUCAAAACCGAACGAAUGUGAAGGUUAAUCGGUUUCUUUACCAUUCUGGAGUGUGGUGUUCAUUAGAAAAAUCUAAAGAAAAAUCCACUUUUUGCUAUUCCUCGGUGAGGCAACAAAGCUCGAGAGCUUGCUUUGCAUUACAUGAAUUUAGUUUAAAGUUUGUGGAUAAGUUCCUUCGCAUUUAAUAUUUGUUCAAAGUUAUGAAACCAUUCACUAGUACUCCCCUCCGUCGCAUAAUAUAAGAGCGUUUUUUACACUAGUAUUCAAGUUUACUUCAUUGCUUUCCAGUAGAAAAAAGUUUACUUCAGAGCUGCUGAAAAUUGUUUUUCUUAGGAGUUGCUGAAAAUUAGUCGGAG